AACUUAGAAGAAUAUGUCAGGCUUGAUAUGAGUUAACUAAAGUUGUCUUCCAAUAAGUCUUUUAUAAGAAGAUGGAUAUCCAAAUGUGUUUCUUUAAUACUAGAUAACUUGGUAGUCGGACUGAAAGAAAUAUCAAAAGGUUUAGUUGUUAGAAACCAGAUUCCUCUAACAUUACAAGAGUUUACUUCCUUUUAUUAACAAAUAUAUAUGCAUUUAACUUGGAAAUUUCUAAGCCUAAACAAAUCUCAAUUUACCAAAAUCCUUGAUUUUAAUUAGUUGGUCU
RNAcentral lists this long non-coding RNA (283 nucleotides) under Lathyrus oleraceus (garden pea). RNAcentral describes it as "Pisum sativum (pea) long non-coding RNA (PSAT_LNC004800)". Lineage: Eukaryota; Viridiplantae; Streptophyta; Magnoliopsida; Fabales; Fabaceae. The record is from RNAcentral.